Lepisosteus oculatus (spotted gar) is the source of this 119-nucleotide ribosomal RNA. Lineage: Eukaryota; Metazoa; Chordata; Actinopteri; Semionotiformes; Lepisosteidae. The record is from Ensembl.
UUUAGCAGCCAUAUCACCCUGCAACUCACAACUGGCAACCCACUGAAGCUAAGCAGGUGUGAGCCUGGUCAGUACCUGGAUGGGAGACCUCCUGGGAAAAACUAAGGUUGCUGCUGGAA